UUCCUGACGCUGAGAAGCGAAAGCGUGGGGAGCAAACAGGCUUAGAUACCUGGUAGGCCACGCUGUAAACGGUGGGUACUAGGUGUGGGGGACAUUCCACGUUCUCCGUGCCGUAGCUAACGCAUUAAGUACCCCGCCUGGGGAGUACGGCCGCAAGGCUAAAACUCAAAGGAAUUGACGGGGCCCCGCACAAGCGGCGGAGCAUGCGGAUUAAUUCGAUGCAACGCGAAGAACCUUACCUGGGUUUGACAUAUGCCGGAAACAUCUAGAGAUAGGUGCCCCCUUUUUGGGUCGGUUUACAGGUGGUGCAUGGCUGUCGUCAGCUCGUGUCGUGAGAUGUUGGGUUAAGUCCCGCAACGAGCGCAACCCUCGUCCUAUGUUGCCAGCGGGUCAUGCCGGGGACUCAUAGGAGACCGCCGGGGUCAACUCGGAGGAAGGUGGGGAUGACGUCAAGUCAUCAUGCCCCUUAUGUCCAGGGCUUCACGCAUGCUACAAUGGCCGGUACAAAGAGUUGCGAGCCUGUGAGGGUGAGCGAAUCUCAAAAAGCCGGUCUCAGUUCGGANUGGGGUCUGCAACUCGACCCCAUGAAGUCGGAGUCGCUAGUAAUCGCAGAUCAGCAACG
This 622-nucleotide ribosomal RNA is filed under the name Tessaracoccus flavescens. Its description in RNAcentral is "bacterial SSU rRNA". It matches the Rfam family "Bacterial small subunit ribosomal RNA", at positions 737 to 1356 of the family's 1533-position model. Lineage: Bacteria; Bacillati; Actinomycetota; Actinomycetes; Propionibacteriales; Propionibacteriaceae. The record is from RNAcentral.